AUAUAUGGGAAAUAGGAAGGGUUGCAUCUAGUUUUUUUUUGUGUGCUACAGCUGGCAGAUUAAACAGUUUUAUGUAAGAAGGUGGAGAGGUGGCAGGGGAAAAACUUGGCCUGCUUUCCCCAAGAAAAUAUUUCUUUUGCAAUUAAUCUGAAGGAGUGGGAUGCUCAUCUGCCAAUCCGAAGGAGUGGGAUGCUCAUCUGCCAUCAUCCAAAAGCUUCUCAAGCUCUGGCUUGGGAAAGGAAGGUUCACGAAUAAAUGUGACUUUGAACAGCCAGUGCACACAGCUCCUGAGGCUGCUGUCAGGGCUAAAUCCAUACCGUAGAUCCAAAAUGAAAAUGUACUACCAGGUAUUCAUCCAAGCAGAGGAAGCACCUGCCAGACCAUUCCACAUAUGGAUUUGGGCUAGCCAGAGCAGAUAUCACCUCCUGGAGACCCUCCAAGCUAAACCAAUGCCAGGCUUGAUAUUACACAUUCGUCCAAUCUUACUUCUUUGUGGCUUCUACAACUUCUGAUCUUGCUUAUAUCUUUUGAGAUAUAUUUCUGCUUUUUACACUAUGAGCGGAAUAUUCGUCUCCAGAAGAACCUGACAUUGUUGAUUCAGACACAAUAUGUGAUCCACUGAAGUCUGAAGAUCUUUAUAAAGACCUUACUUUCUGAUAUUUACCAUCAUAAUGAAUUUGUAUAACUGAUGUUUUCUUUACUGUCUUGCCCUUUCUCUUAACCUUGCCCCCAUUCCUCUUCUACCUUGAAUUACUGUGUUUCCAGUCCAUGUCUGCAGAGUUUUAUUUUUACUGCUAUCCUCCAGCACAUUUGGGGUCCUUCCUAGCAUUGUGUCAGAUACAAAACUAAUGAGCAUUUUGACUAUUCCACCAUCUGUUUUGCUAAUGAAAACCUUGAACAGAAGCAGAUCUAAGGCAGACACCCCCCCCCCCCCCCCCCACAGAGCCCUGAGCAUAAUUAGAUUUUUAUUAAUUUCUCUGUGGUGUGGUUUUGUGCCCACAGAUUAAAGGCUAUGUUUUUCUUACUUCAGACAUGAGAAUAUCAACAGAGACUGAGUCAAAAACUUUGCUCAAGUAAAGGUACAUGUGUUCCUCUUCUCCUCAUCUGUCCACAGGACCUAUUACCCCAUCAUUGAAAGAGUGAAUUGUUUUGCUCUGAUUUAUUCUUGGCAAGUCUAGGUUGGCUUCUGGUUCUCUCCCUGUUGUUUUCUAGGUUCUGAAAACUGCUCCAGACUUAUUAUGUGAAUUGAAAUUAAACUGAUUGAUCUAAUUCAGUCAUCUUUUCCUUUUAUUUGUACUCUUCAGAUGAAUAGGCACUAAUCUUCUUCUACUUAAUAAAAAUCACAAUAGAUGGACUUUAAUGUCUUCACAGGCAGAGAAAUAUGCACUUAACACCAAAACUAGGUAUCUAUCACACUAGUAUUUAAAUUGUGGUAAUGUAAAAGCAUUUGAUUAUUUCAUCUCCUUUACACCUUGAAAAUGCUAAUAGGAAUAUAACUUUAAUGAUAUCUUGAAAGCUUUUGAGAUCUUUCUUUUAUGGUCAUUCUCAAGUAGAAAUUUUGAUUUUGGCCUUGGACUUGGAUAAGUGUCUCAAUUCUGUGUCUUCAUCAGGGAUAUUGUACAAGAAUGUUUUACAGGUGUAAAGAGUCCAAGAUUUUGGAGACGCACAAUGAAAACUUUAAACUCUAGAUUUUCAGCUUUAUCUUUACGAUAGGAACAGAAGAUGCGAUCCACACAGUCUAAGUUUGGCAAUAGAAGAGUUAGUUGCCUGGACUACAGUAACUAUGCAGGCUCUCCUUCUGGGCAAUGGAAACAAGCUGACAACUCCUUCCUAAAAGUGGUACAAAGCAGAUGAGAUCUCUUUUCCAUUUUCUCUCAUUGGCACUAACAUGCGUAGUGCAGAUAGAUUUUUCCAGCUGCUUUAGGGAGAUGCUGAGGAAAGCAGGUGAUGUGUCCCACUGCAAAAAUUGAUGCUCCUUAGUGGAAUUGCUGCUGCUGUUAUCUCAAGUGUGUGAAUCCUCAAGUUACAAUGACGUCCCUGAUGGACCAGCCUAGGACUCUGUAAACAGGCCAGUAAAAUAAGCAAUUUUCUUGCUCUUCAUGGUAGCCUGACAUGUCAGAGUUCAGGCACACUAAUAACUGAAUUUCUGUUGCUCUGUUAUAUGUUAGUUCAGUAUAUAAGUAAAGAAAUUGCAUUAUGGAGACUGUUUAUUGGGAUGGGUGAAAUAUGUGUCUUAUUUCUUCUGUAAUGAAGAAGAUGGUGUACUAAAGAAAAAAAAAAAAAGAACUUCAAAUGGUGUUUACCAAUACUGGUCAUACAGACAGAAUUUGUUCAGAUCAGAAGAGAGCCCAGCAUGUCUCUAGACCAAUCUCCUGCGCAAAGCAGGUGGGGUCUACAAUUAGUUGAAACCCUGAAGAUUUAAAAGAGAAAGACACAAUGCAAUGGGACAAAUCCUUAAUAUUUCUGGAGAGAAGUCAAUAUAUAGAAAAUGGGAGCCAAAAAAAAGCUUUCUUUCUGGUCAGAGAGUUCUGUACCUGUUAUUUUAGGAACAUUAAUAAAAAUUAAUUAAAAAAAAAAGAAAAGCCCACAAUUUAUGCAUACAAAAAUUAAUUUGGAAUUAUUUUCAGAUUUGAGAAACAGUUAGGUACAUGAUUAUUCAAAAAGAACUUUGUUUAUUGGUCUGAAUUUUAAUGCAACUAAUUGUUUCAGAACUUACUUUCCUUCAGGUAUAAAUAAGCUGAAAACAAUGCACAAAUUUAAUUUGGGGAUCCCUAAAAUAUUUCAGGCAAAUGCAAAAUAAAAAUUAGUUAUACUUGUUUGAUCUUUGUUCCUUUUUUUUUCCCCUUCCCCCUAAGAAUAUUGCUUUGCUUGUUCUGGCCUGAAUUUUUAAUCCCUUUAUCUUUUGGCGUUCAGGCAUAAACCAAAACUGCACUGAUUAUUCAAUUUUAACUAGAGUCAUGAGCCAGUCAGAAAAAGAAUCUUGGCCUAGAUCAGCAAUGAGAGGUGUAUAAAUUAGGGUCCCAAUCAAAGCGGUGUCAGCUCCUCAUGAUAUUUCAGACUUACAUGAACUCACUGACUCUUUUCAUUCCAUUAUUGGUUCCAUGACUUUUUAGAAGAUUAGUCAAUUAACCAAAAUUAAUGAUGAAGCAACUUUCUUCAGCAGAACCACCUUUUUUCUUGACACAUAGUGUUGUCUGUUUACACAGAAUUGCAACACUAAGUAAAAUGAAAAUCAAGCACUUUUUUUUCCAGAAAUAAAUGCUUUUUUUGCCAGACUUCUACAUUCUGACACUGAGAGUCACAUGUGCAUUAAAUGAGUCCAUUAAAACUAUUUUGGUGAUGCCUGCAUCAUCAGCUCACUUUUCAGGUCUGUGUUGUGCAAGGUACAGUAUGCUGUUUCUAAACAAUCCUCUUUUUAAAUUGCACAUGUAAAUAUAUAUGUGCAUAUGUAUGUGUGUGUAUAUAUAUAUAUAUACUUGACAUUUAAGCUACAUUGCUUUGAACUAAAUCAGCUGACAGACCUUUAGCACAGCACUGGUUAACUGAUUCAUAUCCAGUAAAGCGGCACCUCUGUUAGUGGCACAAUGCAUCUUCUGCCUCAUCAGGUCAAACAGCUACUAAGAGAAAAGAACUUCAGUAGGACAAAUUCUGUUUUCACUGAUGUGAAUGUAAAUUUUACAUCACUGAGUGAGAAUUAUUGGAGCUCUGCAUCAGGUUGUUACUACUAAUGCUGCAGGAGAUCACUUCAUGAUAGCACUGUGUGCAGCCUCUGGAGGAAAAUAAAACUGCUAAUGCAAUUGUCAUCAUAGUAAAUUGUAAACUGCAAAAUCUUUCUCUCUUUCAUAUUAUCUACAGAAAAUUAAGUAGGAGAAAGUCAUUAUUUUUUUGCUUGCAAAACAACAUGGAGAUAGAAGUCAUGAUUACUCUGGGUAAACAGAAAUCAUAUACUAGAUUAAUGCCAUCAUUUUCUGUGGAUCUAUUUUUCUGGGUUUGUAUAACCUGAUAUGCUAGAAAGAUUUUGGACCACAAAAGAACAUGUAUAAUUGCCUUUCGUCAAGUCCUUUGGGUCUGAAAAUUUUUGAUAUUAAUCUUUCAAAUAUCUAACUGCAAUUUUGUCAUUUUCAAUACCUGAAAAGAAUGGAAAUAUAUAAAAUUUUGUUAUGGAAACAAAAUAUCUUCUUUCUUUAAAGGAUUUUAUUGUCUUUUUGUAUUUGGUUCAGAAUGAAUGGAAAAGGACUCCCCAUGCUCAAGUAAGAGAUGUGCCACUUCCAAGCACCUAAGGGAGACACUACAUUCUCUAUAUUUCAUGUGCUGAUAGCACUGUUCCAACAUUGUUUCAACCACUAGACUUCAUCCAGGAUGAUGCUGCAGCUCCAGGGAUGACCCAACAUGAUUUCAGCUGGCUACAUAUUUGAUUCAGGGAAAGGAAGGAAUCAGCCACAGAGGGCAGAUUUUCCAAGCUGGGGAAGUACAUCAGGAUGCCGUGGCAGGAGGGAGGGACUGUGCUUCACCGAGAUGUCUGCCCUUCCCAAACUGUUGUCUCCAUGUGAAUGAGAAGCUUAAGAAACUUUGAAGGGGGCCUUUUUAAAAGCCAGAUUUGUGGUGGGUAAAGCUUUCUGAAAAGCAAAAACAUUAAGGAAAACUUUAUAGAAAAGAAAUCUAACCAAAUAAUAACAAAAAGACAGGCUCAGAAUUCUUUUUCUUGUUAUUUUUUCCAGUUCUUAUUCCUCACCUUGUUAUCACAAAUCAGCACAGAAGUUAGGUUUAUUGUGAUAACACAAACAGGCAGACUAUGAACACAAAUGUGGAAAUAAGGGAAAAAUGGGAUAUCUCGACGCUGCCUGUCCAUCUCAACUAUACCUCUUACUUGUGUAAAUCCCCUAAAUCCUUUAUUUUAUUAAGGUAUUUUAGCAUUGCUAUGUAUAUAGAAAAUUUAUUUUAGCCUUAAAAGCCUAUCUAACGAAUAUCUUUAUCUUUUUUUAAGGACUCUAUUACCUAAUGAUCAAUCUUAGAUAUUUUGCAGGGGGUCUGAAACAUUAAUCUUGAAAUCAUAUGAACUUCAGCUCAUCUUUGGAAGAGAAUGAGAAAUAGAAAGAAGAAGAAAAC
Molecule: long non-coding RNA, 5106 nt
Organism: Passer domesticus (house sparrow)
Lineage: Eukaryota; Metazoa; Chordata; Aves; Passeriformes; Passeridae
Exons: 3
Source: RefSeq, a predicted model, not a curated record